GACGAACGCUGGCGGCGUGCUUAACACAUGCGAGUCGAACGGAAAGGCCUGUCCUUCCUUGUGUUGGACGGGUACUCGAGUGGCGAACGGGUGAGUAACACGUGAGUGAUCUGCCCCCAACUUGGGUAUAAGCCUGGGAAACUGGGUCUAAUUCCCGAUAGGACUGCAGGGUGGUGCCUGUGGUGGAAAACGAUUUUCUAGUGGUUGGGGAUGAGCUCGCGGCCUAUCAGCUUGUUGGUGGGGUAAUGGCCUACCAAGGCGGCGACGGGUAGCCGGCCUGAGAGGGUGGACGGCCACAUUGGGACUGAGAUACGGCCCAGACUCCUACGGGAGGCAGCAGUGGGGAAUAUUGCACAAUGGGCGGAAGCCUGAUGCAGCGACGCCGCGUGGGGGAUGACGGCCUUCGGGUUGUAAACUCCUUUCGACCGCGAGGAAGCCGCCUGGUUGGAAGGGUGGUGACGGUAGUGGUAGAAGAAGCACCGGCUAACUACGUG
RNAcentral lists this ribosomal RNA (494 nucleotides) under uncultured bacterium. RNAcentral's name for it is "partial 16S ribosomal RNA". It matches the Rfam family "Bacterial small subunit ribosomal RNA", at positions 28 to 507 of the family's 1533-position model. The record is from RNAcentral.